Phacochoerus africanus (Common warthog) is the source of this 440-nucleotide long non-coding RNA. RefSeq lists it as uncharacterized. The transcript is spliced from 2 exons. NCBI's taxonomy places the organism in Eukaryota, Metazoa, Chordata, Mammalia, Artiodactyla, Suidae. The record is from RefSeq and is a predicted model, not a curated record.
UGUGGCUGCAAGGGAAGGCGGCCGUCAGCGACUCCCCACGGGUCAAGGGCGACUCCCCACGGGUCGGAGCCGUUGGGUGGAAAAGACUCCGCAACGAACCGUGCUGGGAAAACUGCAUCUAAUCGCUCAAGAGUGACGCCGGGCCCUCACCUCACAGCACAGGAAGGAAAUGAACUCAAAACCCACCAACCCCAAAGCUGAAUAUAUGAAAAGCCCUUCCGACUACACAGCGUACAGCCUGUCUUUAAGGCCGGGCAGGGGAGCUACAGAGAUACAGAGCCGGUGAGAAGGUGCCCAGUGUCGGCGACUUCAGGGACACACCAAGAGCUGCUCUGCUUGGCAGAGAGAUCAAUUGUUCUUUACAACAAGGCACGAAGCUGGUGCUUCUGAUGCUAUGUUCGUGCCCAACCCUCCAGGAAGAAAGAAGUCCUGUCUCUUCG